This 1148-nucleotide long non-coding RNA is filed under the name Piliocolobus tephrosceles (Ugandan red Colobus). RNAcentral's name for it is "lncRNA (ENSPTEG00000012867.1)". The record is from RNAcentral. Lineage: Eukaryota; Metazoa; Chordata; Mammalia; Primates; Cercopithecidae.
CACUCACUGUGGAGUGCCGGCCUUGCCAGAAGAAGUAGACGCACUUCUCUUUGCCAGCCGCCCUCACCGAGUGCUCCCCCUUCUGGCGACUUCCCACUGCAAACACAGAACGGCAGAGGGACAGGUCAGCAGCUGACACACCUGAGGAGAAGCAAAUGCCCGGCUCACUUCCCCAGGGCCUGCGAGGACCAGUGGCAAAGAGACAGCCUCAGGCCUGGGGCUGGGGAGAAACCACUGGCACCUGGAGGGAAGGUGUGGCUCUUGUGGGCACAAGUGAUAGAGGAGCCGGACGAGUGUCACCAAGGGGCCAGAGCUUUUGCGUUGGCUACAGAGUGACUGCAAGUGCCAUCGGACUGUGCUUCUGCUGCUGGAGGGAUGGUCUGGAAUCUGAACGCUCCCUGCUUUAACUUAAUUCUCUAAAGCUGGACUUUUUCUAAGUUGAACGGACACUCCAAGUGCCUUAAUUUGUUCUUUAAAGCUCCCAGUUCCAUUACUCCAAAGGUGAAGAGAUCUGCCUGCCCCAAAACACACUCAAUUCCCUGUUAUUGUCGUCUUUGGUAACCAGCAUCAGAGAUGAUCACUGUACAUGCCACCUCUGCACGAGAGCAAGAGCGGAAAUCCACGACAGUGACUCUUCGGAAAUUAUUAUUUUGGGGAGAUCCACGUUAUCUCAUCCUCAAGUUAAGAACAGUAAUUAUGCUGUUCGUGCUGACAUGUCAGUGAUGAGUAUUUCCUGCACCUACAAUGUGAACACAGGCCAGGCACCUGCUAAACGUCAUAUACACCUGAUUAUAAAGUCCUGUGAGCUGAGUACUAUAAUCCCUAUUUUCCAGGUGAGAAAACCAAGGCUCAGACAGGGUAACUUUACCCAGCCCACACAGCUGGUAAGUGAGGGCCUGAGAUUCUGAAUCCCAGGCUGUAGGGCCCCAGUGCCUGUGGCCUUCCCUCAAGGGACACGGCUCCUUAUGAAAAAGGAAAGGAGCAGUUCCAAUUGCUUGCUCAUAAGAAAUUAAGCAGAUGAGAAAUGCCACUCCCUAUGGGAGACUGAAGUGGGGGAUGGUUUGAGCCCAGGAGUUUGAGACCAGCCUGGGCAACAUAGUGAGACCCCAUCUCUACAAAAAAUAAAAAAUUAGCCUGAUAUGGUGGCA